This 76-nucleotide microRNA precursor is filed under the name Myotis lucifugus (little brown bat). Its description in RNAcentral is "mir-9229 microRNA precursor family". It matches the Rfam family "mir-9229 microRNA precursor family". Lineage: Eukaryota; Metazoa; Chordata; Mammalia; Chiroptera; Vespertilionidae. The record is from Rfam by way of RNAcentral.
GAGACAACCCUAUAAAGCAGGACUUGCUUCAGUGGGGCUUUGGUGUCCACUGAGUCUGCCCCUUGAGUGUGUCACU